UACGAAGGGUGCAAACGUUGCUCGGAAUUACUGGGCGUAAAGCGCACGUAGGCGGCUUGGCAAGUCGGAUGUGAAAUCCCUCGGCUCAACCAAGGAAGUGCAUCCGAAACUGCUGAGCUUGAGUACUUAAGAGGAUCGCGGAAUUCCCGGUGUAGAGGUGAAAUUCGUAGAUAUCGGGAGGAACACCAGUGGCGAAGGCGGCGAUCUGGGAAGAUACUGACGCUGAGGUGCGAAAGCGUGGGGAGCAAACAGG
RNAcentral lists this ribosomal RNA (253 nucleotides) under uncultured bacterium. Its description in RNAcentral is "partial 16S ribosomal RNA". It matches the Rfam family "Bacterial small subunit ribosomal RNA", at positions 524 to 776 of the family's 1533-position model. The record is from RNAcentral.